This 231-nucleotide ribosomal RNA is filed under the name uncultured beta proteobacterium. RNAcentral describes it as "partial 16S ribosomal RNA". It matches the Rfam family "Bacterial small subunit ribosomal RNA", at positions 980 to 1211 of the family's 1533-position model. Lineage: Bacteria; Pseudomonadati; Pseudomonadota; Betaproteobacteria. The record is from RNAcentral.
CUUGACAUGCUAGGAACUCUGCAGAAAUGCAGAGGUGCCCGAAAGGGAACCUAGACACAGGUGCUGCAUGGCUGUCGUCAGCUCGUGUCGUGAGAUGUUGGGUUAAGUCCCGCAACGAGCGCAACCCUUGCCAUUAGUUGCUACAUUCAGUUGAGCACUCUAAUGGGACUGCCGGUGACAAACCGGAGGAAGGUGGGGAUGACGUCAAGUCCUCAUGGCCCUUAUGGGUAG